Molecule: long non-coding RNA, 956 nt
Organism: Ochotona curzoniae (black-lipped pika)
Lineage: Eukaryota; Metazoa; Chordata; Mammalia; Lagomorpha; Ochotonidae
Exons: 3
Source: RefSeq, a predicted model, not a curated record
UUACUUGGUAGGCACCACUAAACUUAAGAAGUUGUUUUCAAGUGUCUGCUUUGGAGGCGAGGAAUGAAGACAAGUGAUAAAACAUGCCCGUUUGCUAAGUGAUUUGGGAGGUCGCAGUCUGCCUCACCGUAGAAAGUCAAUUUAAAUAGGAAUAUAUCACAUCACACUCCAACUGCAAACAACCUGAGGAAAGUCGUUUACUGGGAAGGCAGCAGUGAUGCGUUACAAAUAUAUAAUUAUUUGCACUAAUAUUUGAGCAGGUGGAAUGGAUUAGAACAUGGUCAACAUUAUGCUGCUGAUAACAUGUAUUUUUCUGUAUUAAUAUGUACUGUCCAACAUGUAUUAAAAUUGUCAAUAAUUAAUUUUAGCCAAGACGCUAAUACCAUGUUCAAGGGACAAUAUCCAACUGAACCGCUUAAAAUUUCACAGUGCGAAACUGGAAUUAAGUUUACUUUCACAUAUCACUUAAAUCACUUUAUAAGCAUUGAAAGGUCAGUAAGACAUGAAAUUAUCAGAGUGUGUUAACUGAAUAGAAGCAAAUACACAAGGUUAAGGAUCAGGGUAGAAAUCUGGAAUACCAAAGUUUAACGAAAGCUAAAUAACCCCCUUUAUAGCUUCAUCAUUUGCAAUCUUAAAAAGGCAAAUGUAUUUUAUUCCUUCCAGCAUAUCUUUAUGCUAAUAAACUAAGAGUGGAUCAAACCAAAUUGAAGGAAUUUGUCUCCACUGUUGCAUUUUCAGGUUUUGAAUUGGGAAGCCUUGCUGAUACCCUCUAUACUUAAAUAGUUGUGUAAGGCAGAAAACGAGUGGACUUUGGAACUUCCAGAGCUGGCCAGCAGGUUGGAGAGCAAGUUACAGGCAUUUAUGGAAACAUCUGAUUUUCUUCUUUGCUGGCUUCUAUCUUUGAAAUGUACCUCUGUGGCUUAGAGGCGUCCCUGCUCUUCAGUGCAUAUCCAGAG